Molecule: long non-coding RNA, 631 nt
Filed under: Equus caballus (horse)
Lineage: Eukaryota; Metazoa; Chordata; Mammalia; Perissodactyla; Equidae
Description: lncRNA (ENSECAG00000048608.1)
Source: RNAcentral
CUGGAGGAAGCCAGCUGCCAGUCAUGAGGAUGCUCAAGCAACUGUAUGGAGAGAGCAAGUCCAUGUGGUGAGGAAUUGAGGCCUCCUGCCAACAACCAUGUGAGGGCACCAUCGUGCAGGUGGAUUCUGUAACUCAGUUCAACCUUUAGGUGAUUUAAACUCAGACCAACAUCAUGACUGUGAUCUCAUGAAAAUGACUGAAACUUGGAUCAACAUCUUGACUACAGUCUCAUGAAAUACCCUGAGCCAGGGCCACCCAGCCAAGCUGCUCCUGAUCCUCAGAACUUCUCUGAUGUGAUAGAAGUUUAUUGUUAUUUUAAGCCAGGCCCGGCCUCCAUUCUGGAAACCAAAAGGAAGAUCCUGAUGCUGAUUGUUCUCGGCCUUGCUGGAAGGGUGGCAGUAGGUUUCUGAGCCUACUCUCGAUGGAGCGUCUCCUGAAAUGAAGGUUCUAAGCUGGUUGGAUCUAAACCCAUCCAGCCAUCCUGCCACCCUGGAGGAAGGACCUGAUGGAGAAUCAAGUUCAAAGAGAGGAAAGCCCAACAAGAGAUGGAGAGACAGUCUCCUUGCUUGAGCCGUGGAGCCAACCAUGCCUGAAGGCAGGCACCCCUGGCCUUUUCAGUUUUGAGAGCCA